GAUGAACGCUGGCGGCGUGCCUAACACAUGCAAGUCGAACGAAGCACUUUCUUUAGAUUCUUCGGAUGAAGAAGACUGUGACUGAGUGGCGGACGGGUGAGUAACGCGUGGGCAGCCUGCCCUGUACAGGGGGAUAACAGUUAGAAAUGACUGCUAAUACCGCAUAAGCGCACGAGGACGCAUGUUCUUGUGUGAAAAACUCCGGUGGUACAGGAUGGGCCCGCGUCUGAUUAGGUAGUUGGUGGGGCAGCGGCCUACCAAGCCGACGAUCAGUAGCCGACCUGAGAGGGUGACCGGCCACAUUGGGACUGAGACACGGCCCAAACUCCUACGGGAGGCAGCAGUGGGGAAUAUUGCACAAUGGGGGAAACCCUGAUGCAGCGACGCCGCGUGAAGGAAGAAGUAUUUCGGUAUGUAAACUUCUAUCAGCAGGGAAGAAACUGACGGUACCUGACUAAGAAGCACCGGCUAAAUACGUGCCAGCAGCCGCGGUAAUACGUAUGGUGCAAGCGUUAUCCGGAUUUACUGGGUGUAAAGGGAGCGUAGACGGAGAGGCAAGUCUGAAGUGAAAGCCCGGGGCUCAACCCCGGGACUGCUUUGGAAACUGCAGUUCUAGAGUGCCGGAGAGGUAAGCGGAAUUCCUAGUGUAGCGGUGAAAUGCGUAGAUAUUAGGAGGAACACCAGUGGCGAAGGCGGCUUACUGGACGGUGACUGA
RNAcentral lists this ribosomal RNA (715 nucleotides) under uncultured Lachnospiraceae bacterium. RNAcentral's name for it is "bacterial SSU rRNA". It matches the Rfam family "Bacterial small subunit ribosomal RNA", at positions 28 to 743 of the family's 1533-position model. Lineage: Bacteria; Bacillati; Bacillota; Clostridia; Lachnospirales; Lachnospiraceae. The record is from RNAcentral.